Cygnus olor (mute swan) is the source of this 1397-nucleotide long non-coding RNA. RefSeq lists it as uncharacterized. The record is from RefSeq and is a predicted model, not a curated record. Lineage: Eukaryota; Metazoa; Chordata; Aves; Anseriformes; Anatidae. The transcript has 3 exons.
UCUUAUGACUUUUUUGCUUUGCAGUGAGGAUGUGGGUGAAACCACUUGAAUGCUGAUAAUUUUUCAAUGUCAUCCUACAGCCCUUGUUUACUCCUUGACAAAGAUAAGUUAGCUCAUAGUUCUUUGAGGCAGAAUCAUAAAGUAGUCAUUUAUAGUGUAAUUUGUAUUGUGCUCUCAAAAGUACUAUUCAUACAAAACCCCACAGAGAAUAUUAUAUUUGAAUGUGGUUUUGAAGCCUAUCCACUCUCACUUGGAUAAAUCUGCCUGGCAUGCAGGGGUGCUGCUGCUGAUCCCCCGCAAUAGGUCUGUAGGGAAGAUAUGCCCUCAGUAGAGACAUUGCUCAUUGGCCUUAUCUCAUUAGUAUGUUUCUACAUGGUGUGUUAAAUUAAGUGUUUCAUAAGCCUGACAUAUGCUGAGCUCACUGAGUAAGGUGUGAUCUGAGAAAUUUGGUAGCCAGCUUUAGAUCAAUUGGUACAGGCUGUCUUUUGGUAGGAGCAGCCCUGUGGUGCUUUAAGCCUGGUUGCAUACCUUGCUCUGCUUACCCUCUGCUAUUUUCUCAGAAAUGUCUCUAUUCUCGUAGUUCCCACAGAGUGGGACUUGUAUGGCUGGAACCUGUUUACAAAAGAGCCAAAAAAAGUAGAACGGAAACCUAACAGGAACUCUGAAAAUACUGGCCACUUUGAAAACAGGACCUAAGUGAACCACACCAGAACUGUACAACAGGGCUGUGGUCUCAUCUGGUAACAUGUCACAUGUACUCCUCCGACGUGUUUUUCCAACUGACCGAAGAAGCUCUGGGAAGGCAUGCUCCGAUGGGUUUUGACUUCUUACACAGUUUUAGUUUUGUCAAACAGGAAGAAAAUGUUUGAUUACAAAGACUUAAGAAAGCUGCUUACGUCACAUCAAGUGCACAGCCAGCAAAUUGAAAGCAGAGAAGAUGAAAAGUUUAUGGCAAUGGUGAAGCAGAAUGGUCAGGCCGUUUACAAAGCUACUUCACUAUUUAACUCCUUGGUGUUGUUUUAGGAAGCUGAGAUGUGUUGCGGUUACAGCAGGAGGUAAUUUGUUUCAGCAGCAUCACUUGGAGUCAGUGUUCCCCACAGUAUAAGUAGUAGCACUGCCUGGCAAUGUGUCGUGUAUUCUAACAGGCUCCUUUUCUAUUGUGCUUGACAAGAAAGUAUCUGACCCAUAGGCCAGGUAUAGUUUCACUCUGUGCUGGUAUCUUGGAGCCAAUAAAGGUCUUUCCUUGCCUUCUUUUCCCUUGCUUUGCAGCCAUGCUGGAACAGCACAGCGUAGCUUUGGGCUGCCUGUGCCCUCAAUUGCUGCACGCUAAUAACAACAAGGCUUUGGAACAGGAAAAAACAGAAUGGUUUGAAUGUUAUUCUUUCUAAAUCACUGUU